UUUCCGUAGGUGAACCUGCGGAAGGAUCAUUCAUAAUAAGUGUUUUAUGGCACUUUUUUAAAUCCAUAUCCACCUUGUGUGCAAUGUCAGGGUUGAUUUUUCUCUCGAGAGGAUCAACCCCAAACAUCAACUAUCUCUCAACUCUUUGUCUGAAAAAUAUUAUGAAUAAAACAAUUCAAAAUACAACUUUCAACAACGGAUCUCUUGGCUCUC
Molecule: unclassified non-coding RNA, 213 nt
Filed under: plant metagenome
Description: partial contains small subunit ribosomal RNA, internal transcribed spacer 1, and 5.8S ribosomal RNA
Source: RNAcentral